RNAcentral lists this long non-coding RNA (1102 nucleotides) under Medicago truncatula (barrel medic). RNAcentral describes it as "long non-coding RNA (MTRU_LNC001136)". The record is from RNAcentral. Lineage: Eukaryota; Viridiplantae; Streptophyta; Magnoliopsida; Fabales; Fabaceae.
AAAAUUUUUUGUUUUUUGAAAUAGUCCCUAUACCCACUUUCUUGAUGAUUUGUCCAAUUUUUGCCUAUGUGGCAAUUGUUGAUUGUUUAAUUGUGUACACGUGGCACAGACAUGAUUGCUAUAUUUUAAAUAUUUAAAAACAUUUUCAAAAAUCAGAAUAAUUAUUUUUGAAAUAAAAAAUAUAUAUUUACAUUAAAAAUAAAACAUUUAUUUUUUUGAAAGAAUCUCUCCUUCAUAUCUGUUAAUUAAUUUGUUGAUUUCAUCAGAUCUCUCCAUCAUCUUUUCUCCACACAAAGUGUUCAUCUUUUCUCCUUGUAACCACUAUAUUCCUCUCUUUCUGACCACCAUAUUCCUGAAAUAACACUAAAAUUUUAACAGUAUUAAUGUAGAGUUCAUUCAACAGCGACUAGUCUUCAGUAACAUCAAAUUUGUGUUCAUCUUCUUAAUCGUGGUUGUUCUUCUUCUUAUUCCCCCUGUUCAUCUUCUUCAAACCCAAAUGGGUUGUUUUCCCAUUUCAACAAUAUUUCUCAUUGAUUUUUUUGUUUCUACUGAAAAAGCAGUGCCAAACCCAAUCCUGAAUUCAGAAAUUCAUCAUGAACUUCAUCCCAAACCCCAAAAUCAUAAUAGGGGAAAACUUCUAGGGUUUUAGAUUUUUCCCUUUUCUUCCUCUUUUUCGAUGCAGAUCUUCAAUUCAUCCUCAAUCUUGCGUUUUUCAGAAUUUUGAUUUUGAUUUCAACCUCUUUGAACUUCAUCUUCUUUUCCGAUUUCGACCAACACUGUGUUUCCAGACUUUUGAUUUGGAUGAAUUUGAGAACAUGAAUGAUUUUGAUUUGAAGAAGAUGAAUUUCGUUUUCUAGAAUCUUAAUUUAAAGAAGAUGAAUUGAUGAAGGUUUGAAUGGCUGGCGAAGAAGAGGAAAGCAGAAAGAUCUGCGAAGAAGAAGAGGAGGGUGAAGUAGAAGGGAUAUGUUGUUUUUAAUAAAUUAAAAUAAACAUUUUUUAUUCCAUAAAUAUAUUUUCUGAUUUUUUUAAAAGUUAAAAUAAAAUAAUUGUCACAUGUACUUGAUUGUACAGUCAUCAACUGUCACCUAGACCAAAAUGUGCC